CCUACGGGAGGCUGCAGUGGGGAAUAUUGCACAAUGGGGGAAACCCUGAUGCAGCGACGCCGCGUGAGUGAAGAAGUAUUUCGGUACGUAAAGAUCUAUCAGCAGGGAAGAAAAUGACGGUACCUGACUAAGAAGCCCCGGCUAACUACGUGCCAGCAGCCGCGGUAAUACGUAGGGGGCAAGCGGUAGCCGGAUUUACUGGGUGUAAAGGGAGCGGAGACGGCAGCGCAAGUCUGGAGUGAAAUCCCAUGGCUUAACCAUGGAACUGCUUUGGAAACUGUGCAGCUAGAGUGCAGGAGAGGUAAGCGGAAUUCCUAGUGUAGCGGUGAAAUGCGUAGAUAUUAGGAGGAACACCAGUGGCGAAGGCGGCUUACUGGACUGUAACUGACGUUGAGGCUCGAAAGCGUGGGGAGCAAACAGGAUUAGAUACCCUAGUAGUC
Molecule: ribosomal RNA, 440 nt
Filed under: uncultured bacterium
Lineage: Bacteria
Description: partial 16S ribosomal RNA
Rfam family: Bacterial small subunit ribosomal RNA
Source: RNAcentral